Long non-coding RNA from Astatotilapia calliptera (eastern happy), 1615 nucleotides. NCBI's taxonomy places the organism in Eukaryota, Metazoa, Chordata, Actinopteri, Cichliformes, Cichlidae. The record is from Ensembl.
UCUUUGGUUGGCCUGACUGACACUUUAGUAUCUACUCUGUGCGAAAACCAAAAGAAAAAAAAGAAGAAGCUAUUUUUAUGGAUGGACUAUUAUACAAGAGCUGCACAGGGAAUCUGUGAGAAUGCAAUCCAGGUGUCAUUGCCCCUUGGUAAUCUCUCUCGUCUUCAGGAAUUCAUUUUCUCAGCAGCUUCACUUGAAAAUGACAUUCUGACACCAUUUACAUGGAAAUCACUUUGCCUCUUCAUCUGUAAUAGUGGUCUGUACGCAGACAGGACCUCUCUGAGGGCUGGACUAUUAAUGGGCAUAAACAAGGAAGGAAGGGAGGAAGGGAAGAAAGAAAGAAAGAAAGAAAGAAAGAAAGAAAGAAAGAAAGAAAGAAAGAAAGAAAGAAAGAAAGAAAGAAAGAAAGAAAGAAAGAAAGAAAGAAAGAAAGAAAGAAAGAAAGAAAGAAAGAAAGAAAGAAAGAAUGAAAGAAAGAAAGAAAGUAGGGUGCAUACUAAAACCUGGGGUUUUCUGGGUUUAAGUCAAGGUCAAAGCUUUAGGUAUUAAGGGAUAAAGCAGCAGAAGAGACUGAGAGAAAGCAUAAUGUGGGAAAUUCCUUUUUCUCCACUUAAACCUGGAUCCUCUCUUUCCCCUUCUCCCUCUUUCGCAUGCACAGACACACACAUGUGGACAGGAAUACAUACCCACAUUAAAAAGAGACAUAAAGAUUUCCCCCUAAAGCGCAAACAUCCACCACAAAGCUCACAUCUAAGCACUUGUUGAAAAUGCAUAUAGUCUAUGUUUCAGUGCCUUGUUAGAUUGCAGUAAGACAUGUUUGAAUGCAAGAUUUUAUUUUCCUUCCGUGUUUAUAUCAAAUAUUUCUCCGUGAUCAUAUCACAAAUUAAACCAAUAUUUUAAAAUGUCAAUAUUCCAAAAGAAAAAAGGCCUGUGAGGUGGGAUAAGAGUAAAACAUCUGGCACAUCUCUCAGGCUCCAGGAAGCCACAAAGCCAAUCUAUUGUUUGCUUCUCCAUGCUUGCUGCAAAACUGCUGCAUGCAUGCACAGUAGCACCUGUGACCUCAAACUUGAAUGUUUGCUUAGACAUUCACAUUAAACAUGCACUACAGCCAGAGUCAAUGAUGAGAUUACCAAAUCAUAAAUAACUGUGUAUCUGGUUUACUUGUAGCAAGACAGGGAAUGUGGAAGCACCUUUUAUAUGAAGAACAACAAAACCAUGAUAGUCCUACCAUGACACAUAAGAUCAAAUAUUUUCUUUUCUUAUAUUAAAUGAAAGUAUACAUUAUAUGCUUUGAAAUCUUUGAAUAUGAGAGAAAAGGUUAAAAAAAAAAAAAAGAUAGUUUAUUUGGCUGGAUUAACACUGCCUCCACCUGGCAUUACUGUAACACUACUCGAAGUGCUCAUAAAGAGACCACUGCUUUGGAGUAAGAAGUCCUAAACUUUUUACAUUAUUUCAUGUGGUGUGUUUUAAUGAAAUCUGUGGUUUUAUUUUACAACAUGAUCAAUCUCCAUUGCCAGGAAAGACUAAGUGCUACGCAAGAAACGAGCAUUAUGCCAGUAAAUGUCUACUAUGACCAAAAUUAUAAUACUAUCGACAAACACUCGCAGUAAUAAGC